Molecule: ribosomal RNA, 274 nt
Filed under: uncultured bacterium
Lineage: Bacteria
Description: partial 16S ribosomal RNA
Rfam family: Bacterial small subunit ribosomal RNA
Source: RNAcentral
AUACGGAGGGUGCGAGCGUUAAUCGGAAUUACUGGGCGUAAAGCGCGCGUAGGCGGCUUUGUAAGUCGGAUGUGAAAGCCCUGGGCUCAACCCAGGAAUUGCAUUUGAAACUGCAUGUCUUGAGUGGUGGAGAGGGAAGCGGAAUUCCUGGUGUAGAGGUGAAAUUCGUAGAUAUUGGGAGGAACACCGGUGGCGAAGGCGGCUCUCUGGAACGAUACUGACGCUGAGACCCGAAAGCGUGGGGAGCAAACAGGAUUAGAAACCCCAGUAGUCC